Molecule: transfer RNA, 57 nt
Filed under: Urocitellus parryii (Arctic ground squirrel)
Lineage: Eukaryota; Metazoa; Chordata; Mammalia; Rodentia; Sciuridae
Also listed under: 2 other names
Description: Spermophilus parryii (Arctic ground squirrel) tRNA
Rfam family: tRNA
About the family: Transfer RNA (tRNA) molecules are approximately 80 nucleotides in length. Their secondary structure includes four short double-helical elements and three loops (D, anti-codon, and T loops).
Source: Rfam by way of RNAcentral
UGGCUCAGUGGUAGAGUGCUUACCUAGCAUGUGAGAGGCACUGGGUUCAAUUCUCAG